UGGGGAAUUUUGGACAAUGGGCGAAAGCCUGAUCCAGCAAUGCCGCGUGUGUGAAGAAGGCCUUCGGGUUGUAAAGCACUUUUGUCCGGAAAGAAAUCCUUGGCUCUAAUACAGUCGGGGGAUGACGGUACCGGAAGAAUAAGCACCGGCUAACUACGUGCCAGCAGCCGCGGUAAUACGUAGGGUGCAAGCGUUAAUCGGAAUUACUGGGCGUAAAGCGUGCGCAGGCGGUUUGCUAAGACCGAUGUGAAAUCCCCGGGCUAACCUGGGAACUCAUUGGUGACUGGCAGGCUAGAGUAUGGCAGAGGGGUAGAAUUGCCACGUGUAGCAGUGAAAUGCGUAGAGAUGUGGAGGAAUACCGAUGGNGAAGCAGCCCCCUGGGCCAAUACUGACGCUCAUGCACGAAAGCGUGGGGAGCAAACAGGAUU
Molecule: ribosomal RNA, 428 nt
Filed under: uncultured bacterium
Lineage: Bacteria
Description: partial 16S ribosomal RNA
Rfam family: Bacterial small subunit ribosomal RNA
Source: RNAcentral